CGGGACGGGUGAGUAAUGUCUGGGAAACUGCCUGAUGGAGGGGGAUAACUACUGGAAACGGUAGCUAAUACCGCAUAACGUCGCAAGACCAAAGAGGGGGACCUUGGGCCUCUUGCCAUCGGAUGUGCCCAGAUGGGAUUAGCUAGUAGGUGGGGUAAGGCUCACCUAGGCGACGAUCCCUAGCUGGUCUGAGAGGAUGACCAGCCACACUGGAACUGAGACACGGUCCAG
Molecule: ribosomal RNA, 231 nt
Filed under: uncultured bacterium
Lineage: Bacteria
Description: partial 16S ribosomal RNA
Rfam family: Bacterial small subunit ribosomal RNA
Source: RNAcentral